This is a long non-coding RNA of Cyprinus carpio (common carp), 2157 nucleotides long. RefSeq lists it as uncharacterized. The transcript is spliced from 9 exons. NCBI's taxonomy places the organism in Eukaryota, Metazoa, Chordata, Actinopteri, Cypriniformes, Cyprinidae. The record is from RefSeq and is a predicted model, not a curated record.
AAUCAAUUAAGCAUGGAAGGGAAGGGAUCUUUGGGAAGACUGUGGGUUUGGAGAGGCCUUGAGCCCGAGCUUUGGACACCGUGGAGGUGGGAUAUCCAGUGGAUAUGCAUAAACGGGUUGAGGAGGAUGAAAGCUGUUCAGCAGAUAAAGCCAUAGCAGCCUGUCGGAAUCCUGCCACGCUGGCCUUGAUUUAUGACCAUCUCAGUCAGACUCCCUACCAAAGCCACCCGCUACCUUUUUGCUCAGUGGAAAUGCUCAUGUUUGAGCCGAUAGUACAACCAAAGUUCGCAAACACACAAGGGACAUGGUCUGGUUCGUCACACUGAACCUGAGGACACAGCCGAUGUCUCUGAGUAGCACUCUGAUGUUCCCAGUUUCUCCUCUCUCGCACAACAUUAAAAAGUCUGGAUAAAAGUGACCCUAGAUGCCCAGGGAGAUCACACACACGCAAGCACCCUGCUGAGAGCUCAAAUGUCAGAGUGAACAGAGGGAGAAUGCCUGUCUGCCAGCUCAUGAUACCCCGCUCUGUCAUUGGAGCGGUGUUUAUAUUCGAGGGGCUGACCGCAGGACGGCAAGCACUCAGAGGGGCCGCCUGACGCCACCGGUUCACUCAGCAGCCGAUGUCUUCAAGUUGGACACCGAGUGGUCCUCAAAUUUAGAUCAGGUUCCUUGUUUAGAUCAGAGAGGGAAACUAUGGAACAUAAAGAUGGGAACGAAAGAGUGCAGGAGGGAAGUGUAGAGAAACAGGAGGCCUUGUGGAAGUGCUCGUCUUGAAGCAAAGUUUAAUUUGCUUCUUUGGAUGCGUUUUAAAGCUCUGACCUCAGCGACCUGGACCCCGUGGACGCACAUGAACCUUCCCAUGAAGUGCAUUUGCCACCUGAGGAGAAGUCACGCUGCGCAGCAGCCAGUUCGGUUCUUGGAAAUCACUCCUCAAUGACACACAUCAAAAUUCAAUCACACACGAGCACCAUCCAGGCACCCACCUCCACCCCCUUGUUGACUUGAUUAAGCAGCCCAAGAUUGCAUCGGCUCACACCAUUGGCUCAACCAAAGGUGGGGGCGGGACUAUUUGUUUGUCCAAACAAUGGAAAUGUUGGCCGAAACAUUGAAGGAGGGACCCAUACUCAACUGUGUGGAACUGUAGCGCGGCACUUUCAUAAAGCAGAGAAGAAAGAUUUUUUUCCCCCUACAUCCUUCAAUUAAACAUUGGCUGAGUUAAACUGAGUCAUCUACUGUAUGUCAGACGAUCCUCGAUCUCCCAGCGUCUUUGAAGCCAUCAAAAAAUAAAAUGACAACAUCUUGUCAAGGAAGUUGAAAGAUCAGAGGACUUUGGUUCCAGAGAUAAAAUCACUAGGGUGUGAUGUGGAUUCAGUGCAGUGGUCUCCUGUUGUGUGUGAGGUGUGAAAGGCACUGCACACUUCUUGAGGAGUUGAGGACAGAUUGAGUUCUGUACUGCUGAACAGCUGUCAUUCCCUGCUCACUGUCAAAAAACAUAUAGGGACGCCUGGGGUUCUGACAGCUCUACCACCAUCCACAACGUUUAUUUAUCUGAGGAGGAGAAAGAGAAGCUGGAGUGGAUGAUGAUUCUCACACCUCCGGCUCAGCGUUGAUAUCUGUUCAGAGAGCGGCAGAGGGAAUGAAAGAAUGGAAGGAGGAGGUGCAAGGAAGAGGAGGAGGUAAAAAUAAAUUGCAUUCCCCUCCUAACAGGGAGUCUUCACUAAUUAUGCUGUUUGAGUCCUCACAGAAGCCAAGUCUUCUAAAUAGACCUGUGCUCGGUGAACCCUGAGUCGGGGGGUUCCUGGCGGUACCCAGCCGGGCUCGGCUGCCCUACUUCCUGUCGUUAAUUAUCUUUUGUUUGCCCUUGAUAAUCCGUGGCCUGCCGUGCCCGUAAUGAAAGCUCUGAAUCACCGCUAAGUGUAAAAAACAAUGGCAUUGUCAUUACCACAUCAUCAGCGCAUUAUAAAUAAUGAAUGAAACGUGCAUUAGGCAGACAGAGGGAGAGUUUAUGAAAAUGACUUGUGAGAAUAGAUUAAAUUACAACUAUUAUUACUUUUCCUUUUGAUGUAGUGCAUCAGAGUAAUUACAAAAUUGUAUAAAAAAGGAUUCCAUUCUCCGCAAGCGGUAUAAAAAUCAAAUUUAUGUUACGAGGGAAUUGUG